RNAcentral lists this ribosomal RNA (253 nucleotides) under uncultured bacterium. RNAcentral describes it as "partial 16S ribosomal RNA". It matches the Rfam family "Bacterial small subunit ribosomal RNA", at positions 524 to 776 of the family's 1533-position model. The record is from RNAcentral.
UACGUAGGGUGCGAGCGUUAAUCGGAAUUACUGGGCGUAAAGGGCGCGUAGGCGGCCUGCUAAGUCGGACGUGAAAUCCCUCGGCUCAACCGAGGAACUGCGUCCGAUACUGGUGGGCUUGAAUCCGGGAGAGGGAUGUGGAAUUCCAGGUGUAGCGGUGAAAUGCGUAGAUAUCAGGAGGAACACCGGUGGCGAAGGCGGGUCUCUGGGCCGAUACUGACGCUGAGGAGCGAAAGCGUGGGGAGCGAACAGG